CCUACGGGAGGAGCAGUGGGGAAUCUUGCGCAAUGUUCGCUAGGGUGACGCAGCGACCCCGCGUGCAGGACGAAGGCCUUCGGGUUGUAAACUCCUUUUCUGGGGGACGAAUAAGGUCAGUAGGUAAUGGCUGACCGAUGACGGUACCCCAGGAACAAGCGCUGGUGAACUUCGUGCCAGCAGCCGCGGUAAGACGAAGGGCGCAAGCGUUAUCCGGGAUUACUGGGCGUAAAGCGCGUCUAGACGGCCAAUCAAGUCAACGUUGAAGGCCGUUGUAUAAGCUGAGACAUGUACGUCGAAACUGAUAGGCUCGAGGAACGUAGAGCAUGGCGGAACUCUCGGAGUAGUGAUGAAUUGCGUACAGACCGAGAGGGAUCGAGAUGCUGAAGACAGCCUUCUGCUCGCUUCCUGACGCUGAAGCGCUAAGAUCAGGAGAGCGACGGGGAUUAGAUACACAGGUAGUCGUGGCUUCAAUCGAUGUGGGCUUGGUGUCGCAUCCC
This 500-nucleotide ribosomal RNA is filed under the name uncultured KB1 group bacterium. Its description in RNAcentral is "bacterial SSU rRNA". It matches the Rfam family "Bacterial small subunit ribosomal RNA", at positions 338 to 831 of the family's 1533-position model. Lineage: Bacteria; Candidatus Calescibacteriota. The record is from RNAcentral.